UUGCACUUAAAAAGACGGCUGACAAGGGCCUGCUAUAACUUUGUGAUUGAAGUACGAUUUACACGAUCCACGAGCCUUCCAUCAAUCGAACGUCAAAUUAAGAAUUCUUUUACACCAUCAUCGACAAGAAACGUACUGACGUACGGAACGUAUGAAUGCGCUCGCGAGAAAAAUGCAUUCAAGCCUACUCUGACGGAACGGUAUCCGGACGUUCCGUUCCGAAGGUGAUGUACCGUGUGACCUGUACUUAAAUCGCCUUGUCUCAUGAGUAUCAUAUUUCGAAAUCGUCGCCUGCUACUUACUACAAGGGGAAUGUUUUUAUUUUGACCUGCUCGGUUCGGUUGACGUCACCUGGGACUUGCGGCAACGUUUGCGCUCUAAAUCUUUAUCAGUUUCCGUUAGUGCAUAAAAUACGAGUUAUCUGCCAAACGGAGAUAUUUGGAAUAACCGUUAUCGACCCAAACAUUACCUAUUCCGCUGAGGUUUGCGCUAGAGAAACUGUACGAGUACCAACCAGACUGAAGUGACUGUGCUGGCCUGAGGUGGAUUUGUCCUCUUGUGUUUAUUCAGUUUAUCAUCGCGUGCUAGUUUGCAGUAGAUCUUUGCUUUGCUUUUGCACUGAUAGUACCGAACAAACUGAUAGUGUUCGUCGGAUGAUCAUGCUGCUAGUUAGAGGCAAAGUAUGACUAAUCCUUACUGUAGUUAUUCGUUUUGUCCGAAUCGAUCGUGACUAAU
This is a long non-coding RNA of Topomyia yanbarensis, 735 nucleotides long. RefSeq lists it as uncharacterized. The record is from RefSeq and is a predicted model, not a curated record. The transcript has 3 exons. NCBI's taxonomy places the organism in Eukaryota, Metazoa, Arthropoda, Insecta, Diptera, Culicidae.